UGCGAUACGUANUGCGAAUNGCAGGAUUCAGUGAGUCAUCGAAAUUUUGAACGCAUAUUGCACUUCCGGGUUAGUCCUGGAAGUAUGCCUGUAUCAGUGUCCGUA
Molecule: ribosomal RNA, 105 nt
Rfam family: 5.8S ribosomal RNA
About the family: 5.8S ribosomal RNA (5.8S rRNA) is a component of the large subunit of the eukaryotic ribosome. It is transcribed by RNA polymerase I as part of the 45S precursor that also contains 18S and 28S rRNA.